GAACCCCUUAUCCCUCUUUUGCAGAAACCCUAGCGUCAAAAUCUCUCAGCCAAUCUCUCAGCCAAUUCCUUCUUCUUCCCUUCAAUGCACAGCGAUCUACAAGAUGAUAAAGGCGUUUGGUUUAUGAUGUGCUUUUGAAGCAGGCAACUUUAGUUAAAGAUCAAGUUAUUGAGGUUAAACUAGAUAUUAUGCUUCUUUAAAUAGUUGGGUUAUUGGGUGAAUCUUUUGGUCUUUUGACAGAAGUGAAGAAGUUUGUUCAGAGUAUGCCAAGACACUCUAUUUAGAUGAUGUUGCUUCAGUUGCACUCAUUCCAACUCCAGUUUCAGUUUCAACAAAUCCAAAGUGGCUACUGAACUCGCAUUAAAAUACAUUACACUUAGACCUUUCAGUUGGGAUCAAGAUACUGACAAAGUCAAUGUGAGGGUGUAUUUUUGUGUUAAUUGUCUACCAGUUGUAAGUUUAUAACUAUAUAUUAUUUAUUCUUGCUAGCUUUUAAAUGGAAGGAAAAUUUAUUUACCAGGUACACUUUCUUUUUGUAUCUAGAAGGACCAUUUUCAUUCUUCAUCGUUUUAUGCCUUUUAAUGGGUGAAUGCUUUUGUUACCCACUUAAUUGUGAGUUGGUUGAUUUUGGGUUACCCUUUACCUUUUUAAUCUCUGUCGGGUCAAAUAAAAAACCUAGAUAUGAAGUAAACAGGUCAAAUGGAUUGAAAAUCACCUAAAAUAUAUUAAAGCAUGCAAUCUCUAUCUAUUAGUUUACUUAGAAGGUGAAUAUAGACAUGUUUUGGUAGCCUUCCCACCAGCUAAUGUCAAGUGUAGUUCUUAUUUUCAAGAAAUUAACCGGUGAAUGCUGAGUUUUGAAUAUUAUUUUAUUUUCAUUGUAGUUUGAAUUGACUAUUCAUGCAAUAAAGGUCGUGUUUUUUGUUGCUUACAGGGUAAUACCAACGGUUCUAGGAACAAAACCAGAAUUACUCUGACAAUUUAUGUGUUCUUUUGAACGAAGAUAGAAUCUUGAUUAUAAAAAAGAACUCCAAAUCUAAUGAAUCUGUUUGGUUUCUUGAGGUAAUAGUAUUCACAUUUAUUGAUCUUGAAAUGAUAGCGUUCGUUAGGUUUUAUUAGGUGGACACACAAUUUAGACGAGACCAAAAAAGUUUGAAACAAAAGUUGUUGCUUGGAGUGAGGGGUUAUUGGUAAUGCUGAGCGGCCCAUAGUAAUUAGUAGCCCGUGUAUGUCGGGUUUGUAAUAUGUCAAAAACGUUUUGUCAAGUGAUGGUUUGAUUUGAAUUCACUAAAUUUUAUGGUUUGCAAGUAUAUCAUGAAGAUAUGAAGAUGUUUUGAUGAUGAUACCAAGUUUAAACCACUAUAACUAAAUGAAAUUGUUCUGACUUAUUUAGAGAUGUAUGAACAAUUUAUAUAUUUUGUUUAAAAAUUAUGUGUAUUUAAUUUUCAACUUAUUUAAGUUAAUAUAUUUUAUUUCACUUGAUUA
RNAcentral lists this long non-coding RNA (1482 nucleotides) under Helianthus annuus (common sunflower). Its description in RNAcentral is "hypothetical non coding rna". The record is from RNAcentral. Lineage: Eukaryota; Viridiplantae; Streptophyta; Magnoliopsida; Asterales; Asteraceae.